RNAcentral lists this ribosomal RNA (881 nucleotides) under uncultured bacterium. Its description in RNAcentral is "bacterial SSU rRNA". It matches the Rfam family "Bacterial small subunit ribosomal RNA", at positions 27 to 891 of the family's 1533-position model. The record is from RNAcentral.
GGACGAACGCUGGCGGCGUGCUUAAUACAUGCAAGUCGAGCGAGGUUAUCUUUUCAACGUCCUUCGGGACGGCGAAUUUUUAACCUAGCGGCGGACGGGUGAGUAACGCGUGGGUAAUCUGCCCUAAAGCCCGGGAUAACAGUGGGAAACUGCUGCUAAUACCGGAUAGCUUUAUCUGGAGGCAUCUUCGGAUAAGGAAACGUAAGGCUUUAGGAUGAGCCCGCGUCCCAUUAGCUAGUUGGUGAGGUAACGGCCCACCAAGGCGACGAUGGGUAGCCGGCCUGAGAGGGUGAACGGCCACACUGGGACUGAGACACGGCCCAGACUCCUACGGGAGGCAGCAGUAGGGAAUAUUGCGCAAUGGAGGGAACUCUGACGCAGCGACGCCGCGUGAGCGAUGAAGGUUUUCGGAUCGUAAAGCUCUGUCCUUGGGGAAGAAGAGCGCUUUUAAGCGCCUUUGACGGUACCCAAGGAGGAAGCCCCGGCUAACUACGUGCCAGCAGCCGCGGUAAUACGUAGGGGGCAAGCGUUGUCCGGAAUUAUUGGGCGUAAAGGGUGCGUAGGCGGCCUUUUAAGUCAGAUGUGAAAGCCCACGGCUUAACCGUGGGACUGCAUUUGAAACUGGAGGGCUUGAGUAUCGGAGAGGGUAGUGGAAUUCCCAGUGUAGCGGUGGAAUGCGUAGAUAUUGGGAGGAACACCAGUGGCGAAGGCGACUACCUGGACGAAAACUGACGCUGAGGCACGAAAGCUAGGGGAGCAAACAGGAUUAGAUACCCUGGUAGUCCUAGCCGUAAACGAUGGGUACUAGGUGUAGGAGGUUUCGAUACCUUCUGUGCCGCAGUUAACGCAAUAAGUACCCCGCCUGGGGAGUACGUGCGCAA